AAACGCUGAAGGAAUGUUUUUAAAAAGU
Molecule: small RNA, 28 nt
Filed under: Bombyx mori (domestic silkworm)
Lineage: Eukaryota; Metazoa; Arthropoda; Insecta; Lepidoptera; Bombycidae
Description: piRNA piR-bmo-1979146
Source: RNAcentral